CAGCCGCCACGGUAAUACGUAGGUGGCAAGCGUUGUCCGGAAUUAUUGGGCGUAAAGCGCGCGCAGGCGGUCCUUUAAGUCUGAUGUGAAAUCUUGCGGCUCAACCGCAAGCGGCCAUUGGAAACUGGGGGACUUGAGUGCAGGAGAGGGAAGUGGAAUUCCACGUGUAGCGGUGAAAUGCGUAGAGAUGUGGAGGAACACCAGUGGCGAAGGCGGCUUCCUGGCCUGUAACUGACGCUGAGGCGCGAAAGCGUGGGGAGCAAACAGGAUUAGAUACCCUGGUAGUCCACGCCGUAAACGAUGAGUGCUAAGUGUUAGGGGGUUUCCGCCCCUUAGUGCUGCAGCUAACGCAUUAAGCACUCCGCCUGGGGAGUACGGCCGCAAGGCUGAACCUUAGGAAUUGGCGGG
This 408-nucleotide ribosomal RNA is filed under the name uncultured microorganism. RNAcentral describes it as "bacterial SSU rRNA". It matches the Rfam family "Bacterial small subunit ribosomal RNA", at positions 509 to 917 of the family's 1533-position model. The record is from RNAcentral.